GGGUCCUUAGCUCAAUAGGUUAGAGCAAUUGACUGUUAAUCAAUAGGUUGUGGGUUCGAGUCCCACAGGUCCCG
This 74-nucleotide transfer RNA is filed under the name Crassvirales sp. RNAcentral describes it as "tRNA-Asn". It matches the Rfam family "tRNA". From Rfam's summary of the family: Transfer RNA (tRNA) molecules are approximately 80 nucleotides in length. Their secondary structure includes four short double-helical elements and three loops (D, anti-codon, and T loops). The record is from RNAcentral. Lineage: Duplodnaviria; Heunggongvirae; Uroviricota; Caudoviricetes; Crassvirales.